Molecule: ribosomal RNA, 482 nt
Filed under: uncultured bacterium
Lineage: Bacteria
Description: partial 16S ribosomal RNA
Rfam family: Bacterial small subunit ribosomal RNA
Source: RNAcentral
AUUGAACGCUGGCGGCAUGCUUUACACAUGCGAGUCGAACGGUAACAGGCCGCAAGGUGCUGACGAGUGGCGCACGGGCGAGUAAUGCAUCGGAACGUGCCCAGUCGUGGGGGAUAACUACUCGAAAGAGUAGCUAAUACCGCAUACGAUCUAUGGAUGAAAGCGGGGGACCGUAAGGCCUCGCGCGAUUGGAGCGGCCGAUGUCAGAUUAGGUAGUUGGUGGGGUAAAGGCUCACCAAGCCAACGAUCUGUAGCUGGUCUGAGAGGACAACCAGCCACACUGGGACUGAGACACGGCCCAGACUCCUACGGGAGGCAGCAGUGGGGAAUUUUGGACAAUGGGCGCAAGCCUGAUCCAGCAAUGCCGCGUGCAGGAAGAAGGCCUUCGGGUUGUAAACUGCUUUUGUACGGAACGAAACGGCUCUGGUUAAUACCCGGGGCUAAUGACGGUACCGUAAGAAUAAGCACCGGCUAACUACGUG